RNAcentral lists this ribosomal RNA (253 nucleotides) under uncultured bacterium. RNAcentral describes it as "partial 16S ribosomal RNA". It matches the Rfam family "Bacterial small subunit ribosomal RNA", at positions 524 to 776 of the family's 1533-position model. The record is from RNAcentral.
UACGAAGGGGGCUAGCGUUGCUCGGAAUCACUGGGCGUAAAGCGCACGUAGGCGGCUUUCUAAGUCAGGGGUGAAAUCCUGGAGCUCAACUCCAGAACUGCCUUUGAUACUGGAGAGCUUGAGUCCGGGAGAGGUGAGUGGAACUCCGAGUGUAGAGGUGAAAUUCGUAGAUAUUCGGAAGAACACCAGUGGCGAAGGCGACACACUGGCCCGAUACUGACGCUGAGGCGCGAAAGCGUGGGGAGCAAACAGG